GCACCGGCUAACUCCGUGCCAGCAGCCGCGGUAAUACGGAGGGUGCGAGCGUUAAUCGGAAUAACUGGGCGUAAAGGGCACGCAGGCGGCUAUUUAAGUGAGGUGUGAAAUCCCCGGGCUUAACCUGGGAAUUGCAUUUCAGACUGGGUAGCUAGAGUACUUUAGGGAGGGGUAGAAUUCCACGUGUAGCGGUGAAAUGCGUAGAGAUGUGGAGGAAUACCGAAGGCGAAGGCAGCCCCUUGGGAAUGUACUGACGCUCAUGUGCGAAAGCGUGGGGAGCAAACAGGAUUAGAUACCCUGGUAGUCCACGCUGUAAACGCUGUCGAUUUGGGGAUUGGGCUUUAAGCUUGGUGCCCGUAGCUAACGUGAUAAAUCGACCGCCUGGGGAGUACGGCCGCAAGGUUAAAACUCAAAUGAAUUGACGGGGGCCCGCACAAGCGGUGGAGCAUGUGGUUUAAUUCGAUGCAACGCGAAGAACCUUACCUACUCUUGACAUCCAUGGAAUUCUGUAGAGAUACGGAAGUGCCUUCGGGAACCAUGAGACAGGUGCUGCAUGGCUGUCGUCAGCUCGUGUUGUGAAAUGUUGGGUUAAGUCCCGCAACGAGCGCAACCCUUAUCCUUUGUUGCCAGCGAUUCGGUCGGGAACUCAAAGGAGACUGCCGGUGAUAAACCGGAGGAAGGUGGGGAUGACGUCAAGUCAUCA
Molecule: ribosomal RNA, 703 nt
Filed under: uncultured Haemophilus sp.
Lineage: Bacteria; Pseudomonadati; Pseudomonadota; Gammaproteobacteria; Pasteurellales; Pasteurellaceae
Description: bacterial SSU rRNA
Rfam family: Bacterial small subunit ribosomal RNA
Source: RNAcentral